GACGAACGCUGGCGGCGUGCUUAACACAUGCAAGUCGAACGGAAAGGCCCUGCUUUUGUGGGGUGCUCGAGUGGCGAACGGGUGAGUAACACGUGAGUAACCUGCCCUUGACUUUGGGAUAACUUCAGGAAACUGGGGCUAAUACCGGAUAGGAGCUCCUGCUGCAUGUUGGGGGUUGGAAAGUUUCGGCGGUUGGGGAUGGACUCGCGGCUUAUCCGCUUGUUGGUGGGGUAGUGGCUUACCAAGGCUUUGACGGGUAGCCGGCCUGAGAGGGUGACCGGCCACAUUGGGACUGAGAGACGGAGCAGACGCCUACGGGAGGCAGCAGUGGGGAAUAUUGCACAAUGGGCGGAAGCCUGAUGCAGCAACGCCGCGUGCGGGAUGACGGCCUUCGGGGUGUAAACCGCUUUCGCCUGUGACGAAGCGUGAGUGACGGUAAUGGGUAAAGAAGCACCGGCUAACUACGUG
This 468-nucleotide ribosomal RNA is filed under the name uncultured bacterium. Its description in RNAcentral is "partial 16S ribosomal RNA". It matches the Rfam family "Bacterial small subunit ribosomal RNA", at positions 28 to 507 of the family's 1533-position model. The record is from RNAcentral.